This 1376-nucleotide ribosomal RNA is filed under the name uncultured fungus. Its description in RNAcentral is "eukaryotic LSU rRNA". The stretch from base 745 to 1376 matches the Rfam family "Eukaryotic large subunit ribosomal RNA", at positions 1 to 649 of the family's 3401-position model. Lineage: Eukaryota; Fungi. The record is from RNAcentral.
AAGUCGUAACAAGGUUGUCCUUCUUGAAGCCUUCUCACACCCGACUAUAACCGUGUGUGCAGUCCACCGUGCCACCCGUGGGCGACGCCACUACUGUGCUGGGACCCUAUUCUUAGGGGUAUCAGCAGCCAGGAUUUUGACCCUGGUUCACAGAUUAAAAGGUGGCGGUCCGGGCGAUGCGUCGCCGAUCAAGAUAUAACCGGUCUCCGUCGAUUCACGACGGCAGAGCCAACGUUCCGUAGGUGAACCUGCGGAAGGAUCAUUAUCGAGUUAGGGUCCUCUGGGCCCCAUCUCCAACCCUUGUCUAUCUUACCAUGUUGCUUUGGCGGGCCCGUCUUCACGACCGCCGGGGACCUUUUGGUCUCUGGCCCGCGCCCGCCAAUGGCCCAACCAAAUUCUAUGAUCAGUGAUGUCUGAGUUUAGUGAUAAUAGUUAAAACUUUCAACAACGGAUCUCUUGGUUCUGGCAUCGAUGAAGAACGCAGCGAAAUGCGAUAAGUAAUGUGAAUUGCAGAAUUCAGUGAAUCAUCGAAUCUUUGAACGCACAUUGCGCCCUUUGGUAUUCCGAAGGGCAUGCCUGUUCGAGCGUCAUUAUCAACCCUCAAGCCCGGCUUGUCAUUAGGCCUCACCGCACGUCGGUGGGCCGGAAAUGUAAUGGCCGAGUCUGUUGACCCCGGUGCAGCGAGCUUUUCAGCACGCACCGCGGCGGUCUUCCGGCUCGGCCUCAACCCCGAAUUUUUCAGGUUGACCUCGGAUCAGGUAGGAAUACCCGCUGAACUUAAGCAUAUCAAUAAGCGGAGGAAAAGAAACCAACAGGGAUUGCCUCAGUAACGGCGAGUGAAGCGGCAACAGCUCAAAUUUGAAAUCUGGGCCUCACGGGUCCGAGUUGUAAUUUGUAGAGGAUGUUUCGGGCAAGGCUGCGGUCUAAUUUUCUUGGAACAGAGAGUCAUAGAGGGUGAGAAUCCCGUCUAGGACCGCCUGCCGCGUCCAUGUGAAACUCCUUCGACGAGUCGAGUUGUUUGGGAAUGCAGCUCAAAAUGGGUGGUAAAUUUCAUCUAAAGCUAAAUAUUGGCCAGAGACCGAUAGCGCACAAGUAGAGUGAUCGAAAGAUGAAAAGUACUUUGAAAAGAGAGUUAAACAGUAUGUGAAAUUGUUGAAAGGGAAGCGCUUGCAGUCAGACUUGUGUGUCGCGGUUCCCCCGGUAUUCUUACCGGGUUACUCCGUGAUAUCCAGGCCAGCAUCGGUUCGGGUGGUCGGUCAAAGACCCCGGGAAUGUAUCUACCUCCGGGUAGACUUAUAGCUCGGGGUGUAAUGCGGCCCACCUGGACCGAGGAACGCGCUUCGGCUCGGAUGCUGGCGUAAUGGCUGUAAGCGACC